GAUGAAGAACGCAGUGAAAUGCGAUAAGUAGUGUGAAUUGCAGAAUUCAGUGAAUCAUCGAAUCUUUGAACGCACAUUGCGCCCUAUGGUAUUCCGUAGGGCAUGCCUGUUCGAGCGUCAUUCAAACCUUCAAGCUCUGCUUGGUGUUGGGCGUCUGUCCUGCCUCACGGCGCGGACUCGCCUCAAAUCUAUUGGCGGCCGGCACGUUGGCUUCGAGCGCAGCAGAAACGCGAACUCGAGACCGGCGGAUCGGCUCCCAGAAGCUACCCCCAUGAAUUUGACCUCGGAUCAGGUAGGGAUACCCGCUGAACUUAAGCAUAUCAAUAAGCGGAGGA
RNAcentral lists this unclassified non-coding RNA (335 nucleotides) under soil metagenome. RNAcentral describes it as "partial contains 5.8S ribosomal RNA, internal transcribed spacer 2, and large subunit ribosomal RNA". The stretch from base 1 to 120 matches the Rfam family "5.8S ribosomal RNA", at positions 35 to 154 of the family's 154-position model. The record is from RNAcentral.